This 320-nucleotide ribosomal RNA is filed under the name uncultured bacterium. RNAcentral describes it as "bacterial SSU rRNA". It matches the Rfam family "Bacterial small subunit ribosomal RNA", at positions 28 to 334 of the family's 1533-position model. The record is from RNAcentral.
GACGAACGCUGGCGGCGUGCCUAACACAUGCAAGUCGAACGGGGAUUUUGUUUCGGCAGAAUCCUAGUGGCGAACGGGUGAGUAACGCGUAGGCAACCUGCCCUCCGGCCGGGGACAACACUCCGAAAGGGGUGCUAAUACCGGAUACGAAGUCUGUGCCGCAUGGUACGGAUUUGAAAGAUGGCCUCUGUUUAUAAGCUAUCGCCGGGGGAUGGGCCUGCGUCCGAUUAGCUGGUUGGUGGGUAACGGCCUACCAAGGCGACGAUCGGUAGCCGGUCUGAGAGGAUGAACGGCCACAUUGGGACUGAGAUACGGCCCAG